GACGAACGCUGGCGGCGUGCUUAACACAUGCAAGUCGAGCGGUAAGGCCCUUUCGGGGGUACACGAGCGGCGAACGGGUGAGUAACACGUGGGUGACCUGCCCUCAGCUCUGGGAUAAGCCUGGGAAACCGGGUCUAAUACUGGAUAUGACUCCAUGACGCAUGUUGUGGGUGGAAAGCCUUGUGCGGCUGAGGAUGGGCCCGNGGCCUAUCAGCUUGUUGGUGGGGGUNAGGCCUACCAAGGCGACGACGGGUAGCCGGCCUGAGAGGGCGACCGGCCACACUGGGACUGAGACACGGCCCAGACUCCUACGGGAGGCAGCAGUGGGGAAUCUUGCGCAAUGGGCGAAAGCCCUGA
This 357-nucleotide ribosomal RNA is filed under the name uncultured bacterium. RNAcentral's name for it is "bacterial SSU rRNA". It matches the Rfam family "Bacterial small subunit ribosomal RNA", at positions 28 to 386 of the family's 1533-position model. The record is from RNAcentral.